ACUCAAAGGAAUAGACGGGGGCCCGCACAAGCGGUGGAGCAUGUGGUUUAAUUCGAUGCAACGCGAAAAACCUUACCUACCCUUGACAUCCCUGGAAUCUUGUAGAGAUACGAGAGUGCCUUCGGGAGCCAGGAGACAGGUGCUGCAUGGCUGUCGUCAGCUCGUGUCGUGAGAUGUUGGGUUAAGUCCCGUAACGAGCGCAACCCUUGUCCUUAGUUACUAACACGUUAAGGUGAGCACUCUAAGGAGACUGCCGGUGAUAAACCGGAGGAAGGUGGGGAUGACGUCAAGUCAUCAUGGUCUUUAUGGGUAGGGCUACACACGUGCUACAAUGGGCAGUACAGAGGGUCGCCAAACCGCGAGGUGGAGCUAAUCUCUUAAAACUGUUCGUAGUCCGGAUUGGAGUCUGCAACUCGACUCCAUGAAGCUGGAAUCGCUAGUAAUCGCGAAUCAGAAUGUCGCGGUGAAUACGUUCUCGGGCCUUGCACACACCGCCCGU
RNAcentral lists this ribosomal RNA (499 nucleotides) under uncultured bacterium. RNAcentral's name for it is "partial 16S ribosomal RNA". It matches the Rfam family "Bacterial small subunit ribosomal RNA", at positions 899 to 1397 of the family's 1533-position model. The record is from RNAcentral.